This 468-nucleotide ribosomal RNA is filed under the name uncultured bacterium. RNAcentral describes it as "partial 16S ribosomal RNA". It matches the Rfam family "Bacterial small subunit ribosomal RNA", at positions 28 to 507 of the family's 1533-position model. The record is from RNAcentral.
GACGAACGCUGGCGGCGUGCUUAACACAUGCAAGUCGAACGGAAAGGCCCUGCUUUUGUGGGGUGCUCGAGUGGCGAACGUGUGAGUAACACGUGAGUAACCUUCCCUUGACUUUGGGAUAACUUCAGGAAACUGGGGCUAAUACCGGAUAGGAGCUCCUGCUGCAUGGUGGGGGUUGGAAAGUUUCGGCGGUUGGGGAUGGACUCGCGGCUUAUCAGCUUGUUGGUGGGGUAGUGGCUUACCAAGGCUUUGACGGGUAGCCGGCCUGAGAGGGUGACCGGCGACAUUGGGACUGAGAUACGGCCCAGACGCCUACGGGAGGCAGCAGUGGGGAAUAUUGCACAAUGGGCGGAAGCCUGAUGCAGCAACGCCGCGUGCGGGAUGACGGCCUUCGGGUUGUAAACCGCUUUCGCCUGUGACGAAGCGGGAGUGACGGUAAUGGGUAAAGAAGCACCGGCUAACUACGUG